CCUACGGGUGGCAGCAGUAGGGAAUCUUCCACAAUGGGCGAAAGCCUGAUGGAGCAACGCCGCGUGGGUGAAGAAGGUCUUCGGAUCGUAAAACCCUGUUGUUAGAGAAGCAAGUGCGGGAGAGUAACUGUUCACGUUUCGACGGUAUCUAACCAGAAAGCCUCGGCUAACUACGUGCCCGCAGCCGCGGUAAUACGGAGGUGGCAAGCGUUAUCCGGAUUUAUUGGGCGUAAAGGGAACGCAGGCGGUCUUUUAAGUCUGAUGUGAAAGCCUUCGGCUUAACCGGAGUAGUGCAUUGGAAACUGGGAGACUUGAGUGGAGAAGAGGAGAGUGGAAUGCCAGGUGUAGCGGUGAAAUGCGUAGAUAUAGGGAAGAACACCAGUGGCGAAAGCGGCUCUCUGGCCUGUAACUGACGCUGAGGUUCGAAAGCGUGGGUAGCAAACAGGAUUAGAUACCCGUGUAGUC
RNAcentral lists this ribosomal RNA (465 nucleotides) under uncultured bacterium. RNAcentral describes it as "partial 16S ribosomal RNA". It matches the Rfam family "Bacterial small subunit ribosomal RNA", at positions 338 to 795 of the family's 1533-position model. The record is from RNAcentral.